GGUGAUGAUCAGUGUAUUCUGGGUCACCGAAUGAACAAACCAUCAAUUGAGUAUUUGAAGACUAAUCUGGACUGCACUCAUGUGGAGGGAAGUGAGUAUUUAUUCCCAUACUCUGAUCGUGCUAAUUUCGUGACUCCGGGUUACAUAGACUUCUGGCGUCAGCAACUUGAGCGUGUGUAUGAGUUUGCAAUGGAUGUCAAGUCCCCAGUUCGAGAGUUCCCUUCCUUUGACAUGAUCUCUGAUCGACCCAGGCUGAGAUAUCUUUCCAGUGGCGACAAAGGAAGACAUCUCCAAAUGCGACACAGGACGGCCGUGCUGUGAGAUUUCGAGUUGAUGUAAACUCUCCAAACCUUCAAGAAAGUCCUCAAGGAGGAGAAGGAAGGAGCAAGACAUCUCAUAGGGUGAUCUCGAACGAUAUACAGUCUCUUUCCGCUUCUUUCAAUUUUGCUCCAUCUGUUAUUGAUGGUCUUCGUUUUUCUCCUGGUCGAAUAAUUCAGGGA
Long non-coding RNA from Papaver somniferum (opium poppy), 500 nucleotides. RefSeq lists it as uncharacterized. The record is from RefSeq and is a predicted model, not a curated record. The transcript has 3 exons. Lineage: Eukaryota; Viridiplantae; Streptophyta; Magnoliopsida; Ranunculales; Papaveraceae.